This 560-nucleotide small RNA is filed under the name uncultured Fusobacterium sp. Its description in RNAcentral is "bacterial SSU rRNA". The stretch from base 1 to 341 matches the Rfam family "Bacterial small subunit ribosomal RNA", at positions 1194 to 1533 of the family's 1533-position model. Lineage: Bacteria; Fusobacteriati; Fusobacteriota; Fusobacteriia; Fusobacteriales; Fusobacteriaceae. The record is from RNAcentral.
CAUGCCCCUUAUACGCUGGGCUACACACGUGCUACAAUGGGUAGUACAGAGAGUCGCAAAGCCGUGAGGUGGAGCUAAUCUCAGAAAACUAUUCUUAGUUCGGAUUGUACUCUGCAACUCGAGUACAUGAAGUUGGAAUCGCUAGUAAUCGCGAAUCAGCAAUGUCGCGGUGAAUACGUUCUCGGGUCUUGUACACACCGCCCGUCACACCACGAGAGUUGGUUGCACCUGAAGUAGCAGGCCUAACCGUAAGGAGGGAUGCUCCGAGGGUGUGAUUAGCGAUUGGGGUGAAGUCGUAACAAGGUAUCCGUACGGGAACGUGCGGAUGGAUCACCUCCUUUSUAAGGAGAAAAUGUCUUUCUCUAUUCUAUUGGUAAUGUUCUUUACAUUACUUCUGAACAUUGGAAACUAUAUAGUAGAACAAACAAGAAAACAAAAUUAACUCUAACAAUUUCUUAGAGUUAGCUGUCAAAAAAAUAGAUUAAAAUAAUUAAGGGCACACAAAGGAUGCCUUGGUAGUAAGAGCCGAUGAAGGACGUGGUAAGCUGCGAUAAGCCUAG